GAGAAGCUGACUGCUAUGAUCCGUUUUCACCGUCUACUAAGCCUACUACUAAACGCAUUUUCUUUGCGCGGUAUGCUGGUGGACGAGGUUCAAAGCUAACUCAGUCCAACCACUGUAGAAACCCGCGCUAAUGCGCGGGUUUUUUU
Molecule: regulatory RNA element, 146 nt
Organism: Serratia sp. DD3
Lineage: Bacteria; Pseudomonadati; Pseudomonadota; Gammaproteobacteria; Enterobacterales; Yersiniaceae
Rfam family: Leucine operon leader
About the family: At least 6 amino acid operons are known to be regulated by attenuation.
Source: Rfam